AUUGAACGCUGGCGGCAGGCCUAACACAUGCAAGUCGAACGGUAACAGGAAGCAGCUUGCUGCUUCGCUGACGAGUGGCGGACGGGUGAGUAAUGUCUGGGAAGCUGCCUGAUGGAGGGGGAUAACUACUGGAAACGGUAGCUAAUACCGCAUAAUGUCGCAAGACCAAAGAGGGGGACCUUCGGGCCUCUUGCCAUCGGAUGUGCCCAGAUGGGAUUAGCUUGUUGGUGGGGUAACGGCUCACCAAGGCGACGAUCCCUAGCUGGUCUGAGAGGAUGACCAGCCACACUGGGACUGAGACACGGUCCAGACUCCUACGGGAGGCAGCAGUGGGGAAUAUUGCACAAUGGGCGCAAGCCUGAUGCAGCCAUGCCGCGUGUAUGAAGAAGGCCUUCGGGUUGUAAAGUACUUUCAGCGGGGAGGAAGGGAGUAAAGUUAAUACCUUUGCUCAUGGACGUUACCCGCAGAAGAAGCACCGGCUAACUCCGU
This 489-nucleotide ribosomal RNA is filed under the name uncultured bacterium. RNAcentral describes it as "partial 16S ribosomal RNA". It matches the Rfam family "Bacterial small subunit ribosomal RNA", at positions 30 to 506 of the family's 1533-position model. The record is from RNAcentral.